AAGAGAUUUUAGAUUAUAGAAAUAGCUGCUAACUAAUUUCUAAAGCGGUUUAAUUCCGUUUAUCUCUUU
RNAcentral lists this transfer RNA (69 nucleotides) under Kusala populi. Its description in RNAcentral is "tRNA-Ser". Lineage: Eukaryota; Metazoa; Arthropoda; Insecta; Hemiptera; Cicadellidae. The record is from RNAcentral.